This 2057-nucleotide long non-coding RNA is filed under the name Aotus nancymaae (Ma's night monkey). RNAcentral's name for it is "lncRNA (ENSANAG00000039212.1)". Lineage: Eukaryota; Metazoa; Chordata; Mammalia; Primates; Aotidae. The record is from RNAcentral.
CGGAAACUGACGCCUCAGAUCUCUGACCCCAGCGUUCUGCGGGCUGACCUGGUCUCUCCUGAAGUUGUCGGUGCUGGGAUGAAUCCAACACUUGAACUGUCCAUUUCCCGGAGAACUUGAUACAAUGACAAAAUCAACCCCGUUUUCACCCUACCUUCACCAGAAAUUGAUCCAGCGGUUCAGGGACUGACUCGGAGCCUGCAAUUUUCAAAAUCUCCCCCAGAGAAUGCCAAAUCACUGUAGCAGAGGAGGCCGCACCCACCCAACGGGUCUCCCACCCUGGGCACCUUCUCCACGACCCGAGUGAAAUCCAGGACGGUGAGAAUGGGGGAUGGGUGAAGCGAGGCCUGCAUUAUUAAGUCUUUACAGGGAGAGAAUUAGCCAUAUUAUAGAUCAGCCCUACACCUUCGACUCACUGGGCAGCGCAAGUAUUCAGAGCAAACCCAGAAGAUGCUCUUUAUCCCUGCACGGGCUCAAAGGGCAAGUGGAGUGUUCUGUCAGAAGCUAGGGUGAGAGUAACUAUAGGAAAAGGAAAACAGACCAUGAUGUGAGUGGAGUGACAAGAAGAUCUAUUUGGGAAACAAAAUUUCACAAACAGGGAAUCCAAUUGAGAGAAAUUCCCAAAAAUCCACAUCACCUCAGUUCUUUGAGGAAACCCUAUAGGCCAACUCCAAAGUGUCUUCAUGUAAUCUGGAACCAGAAAGAAACAUUUCCUCUCAAGUCAGAACAAUGUCACAUUGAAAGCCUGGUCCCCUCUCCCAUCCACCCCCAUCUGGAGACAAGAGCAAAGGAAACAGCUCUGUGGUUUUGGGGCUAAGGGUAGGGAAUGAGGCUUUUAGACAGUUGUGUCCUUAAUGACUGAAGGAUUCUGGCCUAUCUGUGCUUCUAGAAAGGGGAGGAACUGGCAAUGUCUGCACAAAGUACAGUUUUCUAGAGUGCUGCAUCUUCGACCCGCAGAGCUACCUGGCUGCUAUAGCGUAGAUGUGGCGGGCCUUGGGGGAUUCCUGUUCGCCUAGCUCACAGCGCCAUGCCGACGACCCAGCACCGAAGGGCCCCGAAGGCAAUCCGCACCUUAUUACCGCUCUCUCGGCCGUCUUCACGUUGAGAUCCCGGGCCCAGAGAAGCGAAGUGGGGCUUUGUCGAAAUACUGGGGGAAGAACUGGGAGUCUCUGGCCCCCUCGGCGCCGCGGUGGAGUCGGACCCGGCGAGCCUCUGCGUAACGUCAGCGCGCGGGAGCUUCCUAAUGAGUAGAAAAGCAAAUAUCAUCUCUAUGAGACAGGAGUGGGGAGAAGCCCAAAGUGUAAGAAGAGAAAUUGGUAUGCAUGGAAGACAUGGAUACUUAGCAACUCUCUCUCCUGGCACUCAACUGCACACACAGAGAAAGUCAUGGCUAUGGAAUAAUGCCUAUAGAAUUCUAGAAUAAUGCAGGUUUCUCCAGUUAUAUCUGUUCUACUGAUACGGGGAGAGAAGAAGGAAGGUGUCCUGGAAGCUUUUAAGAGCCUCAUAUCAAAUAUAAUUUGGGCAAGGUGUGAGAUUCCACCUGACUGAAAUUUCAAAUAUCUGGGAAUGAGAAGAUGGGGCACAUGUGAAAUUAUUAAUCCCGAGAGCUCCAAAUGGAUUGUCUUUUCUCUGUAGCUGAGGAACCAGAAUAAGAAAAAAGGGAGAAAGAAGUAAAAGAAGCAAGUAGGAAGAGUGAGAUCAAAUUCUGUCUAGAGUUGUGGGAAUGUGGCCCCUCAUUUUUUGUGUGCGUCCCCUCUCUCCAACUCAAACUGAAAAGGUCUAAAUUGUUCUGAAUCAUAUAAGCCAUAAAUAAACCUUCUCCUAUUGUAAGAGAGGGCCAUGUUCUAGUCCAUAGAUGGUUUAUAUGGGUUAUAAUGGAAUGAGGUGGGGGGUUGGGAAAUACACAUUUGUCAUAAAACAAUUGAGACAAAUUUUGCACUAUAAUAACUAUGUAUACAUUUGAUAGACCCCAGACAUUUUGCCCUUUACAGUUCAAAAAGGCAUGAAGGUAAAUCAUUCACUAUACAGAGCAAGUGACACCUUCAUUUAUAUCAGUG